UUAACAUUCCGAGUUUGAAAGCGUGGGAAUCUGGAAAGCAGAAGACGGAAGAAGAAAAGACCGUCAAAAGUCGAACGGAGACACUACGCUUUCUUUCACCCUAACACAACACCGGCAAUGCAGACGCUACUUCUGCCGGCAACACGCGCCGGCAGCUUCACGGCAGUUCCUCUGUCAGCCUCCGCCGUCGCCUCCCCUCCACUCCCUCAACCAUUUCUCCGCCCGAAUUCCUUCCCUCACCCCUUCUCAAUCGGGCUCGUUCAUCUUCCUCUUUUAGUUCCUCCAUCGCUCGUCAACCAUGGAAGAAGCUUCCCUUCACCGCAAGCGCUUCUUCGCAAGUGUCUCCGGCAUUCACUCCCUCCAACGACGAAUCAGAUAAGGCCAAACUCGAGCAGGUGGCGAAGAGAUUGGAGAAGACGGCGAGAUACUUCAAACGUUUGGGUAACUUAGGGUUUUGGGUCAGCUAGUGUGUACCGUCGUGGCUGCCGUCAUACUCUCAUUCUCCGUCGUCGUCACCGGAAAAGUGACAUCGCCGCCACAUUUUAUGCCACGGCGGGUGGAAUAGUUGCUGCCUUCAUUUCAGUGUUUUGGUCCUUUGGCUAUAUUCGUCUCUCUGAGAAGCUUCGAAAAACUUCAAAUGACCCUACCAAGGCUCCUCCUCGUUGCUGAUGUAGUGAAAGGCUUGAAAAAUGGUAUAAUGUUGAACCUGUUGGGGAUGGGUGCUGCUAUUCUUGGGAUGCAAGCCACGGUUGGAUUGUUAGUUGCUAAGGCUCUCACUUCCUCGGCAAACCCGUAUUAUCAGGGAAUUUCUCCCGGUAGCACCCCAGUGCUCGCAUUGGAUGUAUUUUUGGUGCAGGCUUCAGCGAACACUAUUCUUUCUCAUUUCCUUGGGCUUGUUUUCUCACUGGAGUUGCUGCGAUCAGUCACAUUACCACCUUCAGAUGCAACUUCAUUUCCCCAAAUUUGCGUAAUAUGUGCCUCGAGACUAGUAUAAUGAAAUCACACACCCAACAAUUGUCCCUCGUCUCUUGUGGUUAUUUGCUUAAUUAAUUGUGUUCAGCUUUUUGAUACAGCGUUUUGAGGCCCUCUUCCUAGGCAAUUGACCUCAUCGUGUAUUUCCAAUUUUAAAAGAUCCUGUGCAAUAUUGCUAAUAAGCAUGAUAACUCCUCAGCAAAUGAAGAUCCUUGGACAUUGGAGUUUUCACUUACUUUCAUAGCUUGUCUACGGUUAGUGUCAAUCAGAGAAAUUUCAAAACGCAAAUUUCAAAUAAUUGUAUAUUAGACCUGUCAUGCAAUCUGCGGGUUUUUGUUUCUUUUCAGUAUGAUGUGGAGUCCUUGUCUGAGGAAACAGAAUUUUUUUUGUUAGAAUUGUAUUUUGGCCAUGAUUUUGUAUUUGCGUCAGAAUCUCGUACAGUAUUGGUUUUGGUUCAUGCGCAGGAUUCACAUAAUAGUGGGUUUUGUGUGCAGGAAUUUGAUCGAUACUUGCAAGUCAGGACUAAGAAUUAAGAAGCCUUAAGGACACAUAAUAGUUAGUAAAAACUAUCUUCAAUCAUGUCAGUCUGUCCACACAGGCGGUAAUUUCAAUGUUAAA
This is an RNA transcript of Glycine soja, 1590 nucleotides long. It is a transcript of the gene named protein TIC 21, chloroplastic-like, with no coding region annotated. The transcript has 4 exons. NCBI's taxonomy places the organism in Eukaryota, Viridiplantae, Streptophyta, Magnoliopsida, Fabales, Fabaceae. The record is from RefSeq and is a predicted model, not a curated record.